RNAcentral lists this transfer RNA (76 nucleotides) under Paenibacillus sp. EKM211P. RNAcentral describes it as "tRNA-Ala". It matches the Rfam family "tRNA". From Rfam's summary of the family: Transfer RNA (tRNA) molecules are approximately 80 nucleotides in length. Their secondary structure includes four short double-helical elements and three loops (D, anti-codon, and T loops). The record is from RNAcentral. Lineage: Bacteria; Bacillati; Bacillota; Bacilli; Caryophanales; Paenibacillaceae.
GGGGGCAUAGCUCAGCUGGGAGAGCGCCUGCCUUGCACGCAGGAGGUCAGCGGUUCGAUCCCGCUUGGCUCCACCA